RNAcentral lists this ribosomal RNA (253 nucleotides) under uncultured bacterium. RNAcentral's name for it is "partial 16S ribosomal RNA". It matches the Rfam family "Bacterial small subunit ribosomal RNA", at positions 524 to 776 of the family's 1533-position model. The record is from RNAcentral.
UACGGGGGGGGCAAGCGUUGUUCGGAAUUACUGGGCGUAAAGGGCUCGUAGGCGGCCAACUAAGUCAGACGUGAAAUCCCCAGGCUCAACCUGGGAACUGCGUCUGAUACUGGAUGGCUUAAAUUCGGGAGAGGGAUGCAGAAUUCCAGGUGUAGCGGUGAAAUGCGUAGAUAUCUGGAGGAAUACCGGUGGCGAAGGCGGCAUCCUGGACCGACAUUGACGCUGAUGAGCGAAAGCUAGGGGAGCAAACGGG